This 500-nucleotide ribosomal RNA is filed under the name uncultured Halanaerobium sp. Its description in RNAcentral is "bacterial SSU rRNA". It matches the Rfam family "Bacterial small subunit ribosomal RNA", at positions 338 to 830 of the family's 1533-position model. Lineage: Bacteria; Bacillati; Bacillota; Clostridia; Halanaerobiales; Halanaerobiaceae. The record is from RNAcentral.
CCUACGGGAGGCAGCAGUGGGGAAUCUUCCGCAAUGGGUGCAAACCUGACGGAGCAACGCCGCGUGAGUGAAGACGGCCUUCGGGUUGUAAAGCUCUGUCUUCAGGGAAGAACCGUUACUGUAGGAAAUGGCAGUAGCCUGACGGUACCUGAGGAGGAAGCCCUGGCUAACUACGUGCCAGCAGCCGCGGUAACACGUAGAGGGCAAGCGUUGUCCGGAAUCAUUGGGCGUAAAGGGUAUGCAGGCGGAUAUACAAGUCAAAUGUGAAAGUUGACGGCUUAACCGUCAGAUUGCGUUUGAAACUGUAUAUCUUGAGUACAGUAGAGGAGAGCGGAAUUCCUGGUGGAGCGGUGAAAUGCGUAGAUAUCAGGAAGAACACCAGUGGCGCAGGCGGCUCUCUGGACUGUAACUGACGCUGAGAUACGAAAGCCGGGGGAGCGAACGGGAUUAGAUACCCCGGUAGUCCCGGCAGUAAACGCUGGACACUAGGUGUUGGAGGU